This 1118-nucleotide long non-coding RNA is filed under the name Malus domestica (apple). RNAcentral describes it as "long non-coding RNA (MDOM_LNC017009)". The record is from RNAcentral. Lineage: Eukaryota; Viridiplantae; Streptophyta; Magnoliopsida; Rosales; Rosaceae.
CACACUGGUUUUGGUGUCUAAGGACAUUAGCCACCAUGCAGCCACUAAUGUAUGAUCAAUGUCCUCUAUCAAAAUUUAUAUUGCUCCAUUGCCCACUGCAUGUGUUUUGGUGUCUCUCUCUCAAUAGUGAACCAUCACUUCAGCUUACAAUGCUCACCAAAAUAUUAUUUGUUUUUGGUAUCCCUGCUUGAUGCGUUCAACACCAUUCUCACAUGCUGCUAUUGAAUAGUGGCUUACAACAAACACACGUCCACGACAUUUCCCGUGCGUUUCUUCAUCACUUCCAUGAAAUCAACCAUCAUUCCGCACUUCAUGGUUGCCACUUCCAUGUCCAUCUUAUUUAUUCUGCCUGCUACUUCCUCUAUUGUUGUACCAUAUUUGCCUCCUUAAGCAUCUGCCUUUCCUCUUUCUGUGUGACCUCCAUCCUAAGCCUCUCAAUUUCAUUAUGAGCUUGAUUUUCUGCCCCUGGUUGCUCCUCACAUGCCGCUUGAACUGCCUAGACAACCCUAAACAUGCCCUCUCCUCAGUAACAAUGCCUGGCACAUUAGACCAAUUAACUCCUCAACCAAAACCUCUAACUCGGUUUCUCUUCUCCGGUCCUAGAACAGAAGAUUAUACAAGGUGGAGUGCCUCAUCAUUUACUUCUUCAUUCCUAUCCUCAUACUCUUUCAGCUUUGUGUUAAAUUAUUCUUCCUAGAUGUACAUAAAUAUUUGAUUACCAUAUUAUUAAACUUUUACUUGUUCAACAACAAUUCCAAAGAGAGCAAAUUCUCAACAUUUGCUAAGGCUGUUUAGUUACUUGCAAUGAUUUUCGAGUGGGGUAAAUCACCAAAAUGGUCCCUGAGAUUUGCAUAACUCAUCGCUUUGGUCCCUGAGAUUCCAAAUCGAUAAAAGUGGUCUCUGAGAUUGUCCACCAUCCAUCAUUUUGGUCCUUCCGUUAAAAACUCCGUUAAGUGUCCCGGAGCUCUUGGCCGGAAGUUUGGGCAAUUUUCAAAGCUUCGUAACUCAAUCAUUUCUUAACCAAAUUUGACCCAUAAUAUAUCAAAAUGAAGAUAGGAAAGUGUAGAAUAAGAUUAUACCUAUUUCAAAGCCCAAUGGUUGCCGGAGAUGGCCGAAAA